RNAcentral lists this unclassified non-coding RNA (1456 nucleotides) under Centruroides sculpturatus (bark scorpion). RNAcentral describes it as "fGFR1 oncogene partner 2 homolog, transcript variant X4". Lineage: Eukaryota; Metazoa; Arthropoda; Arachnida; Scorpiones; Buthidae. The record is from RNAcentral.
UGAAUAGAAAAAAAAAGUGGUAAAUGUCGGCUGCGAAUGUUUGGAAAUUGAUCGAACGAAAAUCGCCUUAACGUUAAACAAAUGAAUUUAACGUAAUUUAUUGAAAUAAAUCGUUUGGUUUUUGUGUAAAUAUCAUUUUUUUUCUUUACAAGAAGAGAUUAAACAGAUUCUGUUCAGCUGGCAAGACAAGGAGAGCAAUCAACUUGUGAUAACUUCAUGUGUUGGUCGAGUCUCCUUUUGAGAAUAAGAAGAUUUCACAUGAUUGACAUUGCCAGAAAAAACAUGUCUCUGACUGUGCAUCAAAUUCUGAACGACGCCAAGCGUCUAGUGACCCGACUGCGAGACCACGAUAAUACUGCAGAUACUAUAAUUGCUCAAGCACAGUCACUCAAUAAGACUGUGGAAAGCAUGAAUGAAUAUAAUGAAGAUCUGGCCGAAUUAAACACAUCUAUUCAGCAGCGUCCCCGUUCUUCUCUGAUCCUAAAUAUUCAGCAAGAGAACAGACACAUUAGAGAACUCCAGCAGGAAAAUCGUGAAUUAAGAAAUAUGCUGGAAGAAUAUCAAUCUGUUUUGGAACUAAUCAUGAGCAAAUAUCGUCAGCAGGUUACUAAACUCGUUCAGUCUACAUCGGUCGACCGUGCUUGGGGCGAACUAGAUAAUUAUAAGGAAUUACAAGAACAGGCAGACAGAAUUUGUGAUAUGGCAGCAAUUAUCAAACAAGCCAUAGAAAUAGACGAUGGUAAUUACGCUUACGAACAGGAACGUUUGACACAACUCCUAACGGAAAACAAAGGACUGAGAGAAUUGCUGGAAAUAAGUCGCACUUCAGGAUCGCUAGGACGACCGUCAAAUGCACCGGAUACCACAGAGAAAGAAGUACAGACCGACACAUGACCAUUUUAUUGAUUGGGAGAAUUGCAUUUUUUCAGUGCAUGAAUUAAUGUUACUACUGUAUAUUACACACUACUAUACUGUAUAUUAUACAUGUUGUCAUCACUACAGAAACCUGAUCAGAGAAAAAAAAUUUGUUGAGAAGUAUUUAAUAAGGCAGCAAAUUACUUUUAAUGAAUUUAUAUUGUUUUAAAAAUUAUUUAGGAAUUUAAAAGGGAAAAGGAACCAAACAAUAUACACUGCCAUUUUGGAGGACAAAUAUAUUGCUUUGUACAAACGUAGCCGCAAGAUUUGUAAAUAGGUCGCUCGUAAGAGUUUCAGGAAUGAUUAGCGAUAAUCACUUUAGUCAAAUUCACUUUCACGGAUUUAAAUAUUAGGCCCGAACAAAGGUGAGGCUGCAAAAUUAUUUAAAUUGCAUAUUGCUUUCUUUAGAUUUUUUGUGAAUUAUUGUUUUAUAUUGUAAUAUGUUUAUAUAUAUUCAAAGUUUUAGUUUGUAAAUAUAUUGUCAAUCAUGUUCUUUUUUCAGUAUAUUUGGUGAAUAAAUCUGUAUUUCAUGAUAAGUUUG